RNAcentral lists this ribosomal RNA (492 nucleotides) under uncultured bacterium. RNAcentral describes it as "partial 16S ribosomal RNA". It matches the Rfam family "Bacterial small subunit ribosomal RNA", at positions 29 to 507 of the family's 1533-position model. The record is from RNAcentral.
AGUGAACGCUGGCGGUAGGCCUAACACAUGCAAGUCGAACGGCAGCACAGUAAGAGCUUGCUCUUACGGGUGGCGAGUGGCGGACGGGUGAGGAAUACAUCGGAAUCUACUUUUUCGUGGGGGAUAACGCGGGGAAACUUACGCUAAUACCGCAUACGACCUACGGGUGAAAGCAGGGGAUCUUCGGACCUUGCGCGAUUGAAUGAGCCGAUGUCGGAUUAGCUAGUUGGCGGGGUAAAGGCCCACCAAGGCGACGAUCCGUAGCUGGUCUGAGAGGAUGAUCAGCCACACUGGAACUGAGACACGGUCCAGACUCCUACGGGAGGCAGCAGUGGGGAAUAUUGGACAAUGGGCGCAAGCAUGAUCCAGCCAUACCGCGUGGGUGAAGAAGGCCUUCGGGUUGUAAAGCCCUUUUGUUGGGAAAGAAAAGCAGCAGGUUAAUACCCCGCUGUUCUGACGGUACCCAAAGAAUAAGCACCGGCUAACUUCGUG